GCCGGUAAAUCUCGUGCCAGCCACCGCGGUUAUACGAAAGGCCCGAGUUGAUGGUCACCGGCGUAAAGAGUGAUUAUAGCAUGUUAAAAUAACUAAAGCCAAAGCCCUUCCCGGCUGUCAUACGCACCCGAAGGCAUGAGGCCCCUACACGAAAGUAGCUUUAACCACAAGACCCCUAGAACUCACGACAGCCAAGAUACAAACUGGGAUUAGAUACCCCACUAUG
Molecule: ribosomal RNA, 226 nt
Filed under: Elops saurus (ladyfish)
Lineage: Eukaryota; Metazoa; Chordata; Actinopteri; Elopiformes; Elopidae
Description: partial small subunit ribosomal RNA
Source: RNAcentral